GGCUUAUUGAUAAUAAUUUUAAGUCUGACCUGCCCAAUGAUUGAGGAAUUAAAUGGCCGCGGUACUUUGACCGUGCAAAGGUAGCAUAAUCAUUAGUUUUUUAAUUGAAAGCUUGUAUGAAAGGUUUGAUGAAAGAGUAGCUGUCUCUAUUUAAAUUUAUUAGAAAUUUAUUUUUAAGUUAAAAAGCUUAAAUGAUUAUAGAAGACGAGAAGACCCUAUAGAGUUUUAUAGUUUUUUAGUAUUAUUGAUUUUUAGAAUUGUAAGGUUUAUAUUUAAGAACUAUUUAGUUGGGGUGAUUGAAAAAUUUAAUGAACUUUUUUUUUAUUUUUACAUUAAUUUAUGAAUUUUUGAUCCUUUAUUGAAGAUUAAAAGAUAAAAUUACCUUAGGGAUAACAGCGUAAUUUUUUUUUAGAGUUCUAAUCGAAAAAAAAGUUUGCGACCUCGAUGUUGGAUUAAAAGAAAUUACUGGUGUAGGGGCUAGUAAAUUAGGUCUGUUCGACCUUUAAAAUUUUACAUGAUCUGAGUUUAAACCGGCGUGAG
RNAcentral lists this ribosomal RNA (540 nucleotides) under Nechyrus pr. laticollis ARC4871. Its description in RNAcentral is "partial 16S large subunit ribosomal RNA". It matches the Rfam family "Bacterial large subunit ribosomal RNA", at positions 1819 to 2625 of the family's 2925-position model. The record is from RNAcentral. Lineage: Eukaryota; Metazoa; Arthropoda; Insecta; Coleoptera; Curculionidae.